AUGUGUCCUAAAGCUGCAACCUGUGGCGACCCUGCAACAACCGGAGACCGGGCUAUGGCGUGUGCCUGUGCUGCGACGACAGCAACAAUGCGUGCGGCCGGGGCAGGCGGCGAUGAUGCGACUGUAGAGAAGAAAGAGGAAGGAAACGCAUUUUCAAAAAAAAAAUGGAUCAAGAAGAAAGAGCGCAACCCGCCCCGCCUCCUCGGCGUCUGCGUCGGCUACCCCGGCAGGUAUCGUUUCGUGCCUCUCCCGCGGCAGCCUCCGGAGCUCGCCAUCCCCAUACGCCGCGCGACCUCCUCCUGCGACGCCGCCUUCGCUCGCAGAUGCCCGCGAAUCAAGAACUGCCGGAAUGGUCGCCUCAUCAUCGAGGUCUUCCACGCCGGCAGAUUCGAUCACCCCCUCGUGGUGUCGCUUCUCGCCGGUGAGUCUUCAACCGUCCUCCCACAGAUCCGGCCCCACCGUGACCGCUGGGUGCAGGGCACUCAAACGGGAUUCACUGAGAUGUUCCUACCCGAGGAUGGGGGCCGCGACGGCAUCACCUUGGUGAAUCUGUGGAAGGACUGGCCAAAAGUGUAUGCGGAGGUGUGCGUCCUUGGAUCUGGCAGCUCUGGCCUCCCUGCCAGGGGCUCGGCAGAGAUAGAGCUCCCUGAUGACAUCGUCUUCCAUGAAAUGCUACCACCCAUCCAUGGCAAAGUCUUCAUGGUGACCAACUUAGGGUACACCUUGGGUCUAGAUUUAGCCACCAGGAUCCUUUUCACCCUGGAGCUACCAGUUGGAUUGCGGGGCAACUAUAUGCUCUCAUGUGCGGAAGAUUCCGGUCUCUAUCUCGUCAGUGCAGACGGGUUUCAGCUCAGUGUGUGGCUCCAUCGGAUGUCGGGCAAUGAUGGCGCAGGCUGGCUGCUGGUCGACACAUUUUGUGUCAGUGUGGGUCAGGCAUGCACACCUCGCGCGGAGGACAGUUGGGUUCCUCACGAUGUUUGCCUUGAUGUUGUCACGGUCGGGGACAAUGCUGACUUUCUGUUCUUAGAUCACCCAGCAAGUGGUGCUCUCUUUUAUGUUCAUCUGAGGAGCAGGGUGGUUGAGAAGGUCUAUCAGAGGGGGGCAGAUGAAUGUGGGUAUAAACGUGCGACUGCUGGCCACGUACGUGUCUCUCCUGUUAUGAUGAUCUGGCCGCCUAUCUUCCCAGCGCGGAAUGUGUUUGAUUGUUGUACUAUCUAA
Molecule: ribosomal RNA, 1218 nt
Filed under: Triticum aestivum (bread wheat)
Lineage: Eukaryota; Viridiplantae; Streptophyta; Magnoliopsida; Poales; Poaceae
Description: partial small subunit ribosomal RNA
Source: RNAcentral